UGGGGAAUUUUGGACAAUGGGGGAAACCCUGAUCCAGCAAUGCCGCGUGUGCGAAGAAGGCCUUCGGGUUGUAAAGCACUUUUGUCAGGGAAGAAAUCCUUUGGGCUAAUACCCUAGGGGGAUGACGGUACCUGAAGAAUAAGCACCGGCUAACUACGUGCCAGCAGCCGCGGUAAUACGUAGGGUGCAAGCGUUAAUCGGAAUUACUGGGCGUAAAGCGUGCGCAGGCGGUUGUGUAGGACAGGUGUGAAAUCCCCGGGCUUAACCUGGGAAGUGCAUUUGUGACUGCACGACUAGAGUGUGUCAGAGAGGGGUGUAAUUCCACGUGUAGCAGUGAAAUGCGUAGAUAUGUUGAGGAACACCAAUGGCGAAGGCAGCCCCCUGGGAUAACACUGACGCUCAUGCACGAAAGCGUGGGGAGCAAACAGG
This 429-nucleotide ribosomal RNA is filed under the name Acidobacteriota bacterium. RNAcentral describes it as "Acidobacteria bacterium partial 16S ribosomal RNA". It matches the Rfam family "Bacterial small subunit ribosomal RNA", at positions 355 to 776 of the family's 1533-position model. Lineage: Bacteria; Pseudomonadati; Acidobacteriota. The record is from RNAcentral.